This 483-nucleotide ribosomal RNA is filed under the name uncultured bacterium. RNAcentral describes it as "partial 16S ribosomal RNA". It matches the Rfam family "Bacterial small subunit ribosomal RNA", at positions 30 to 506 of the family's 1533-position model. The record is from RNAcentral.
AUUGAACGCUGGCGGCAGGCCUAACACAUGCAAGUCGAGCGGUAGAGAGAAGCUUGCUUCUCUUGAGAGCGGCGGACGGGUGAGUAAUGCCUAGGAAUCUGCCUGGUAGUGGGGGAUAACGUUCGGAAACGGACGCUAAUACCGCAUACGUCCUACGGGAGAAAGCAGGGGACCUUCGGGCCUUGCGCUAUCAGAUGAGCCUAGGUCGGAUUAGCUAGUUGGUGGGGUAAUGGCUCACCAAGGCGACGAUCCGUAACUGGUCUGAGAGGAUGAUCAGUCAACCGGGAACUGGGACACGGUCCAAACCCCGAGGGGAGGCAGCAGUGGGGAAUUUUGGAAAAGGGGGGAAAGCCUGAUCCAGCCAUGCCGGGGGGGUGAAGAAGGUCUUCGGAUUGUAAAGCAUUUUAAGUUGGGGGGAAGGGCAGUAAAUUAAUACUUUGCUUUUUUGACGUUACCGAAAGAAAAAGCACCGGCUAACUCUGU